AAGAGAAGCGAUCAAUUGCGAUGAGGAGGACGAUUUGAUGGCGAGGGAGGAGAGGAAAGGGUCUACUGGGGUGAGGGGGGAGUGACCGGCGGUGGGAGAAGAAAAGAGAUUUGUCAGAUCCAUGGAAAAGGAGGAAAAUCGGAAACAAAGGAGGAGGGGUGUUGUCUGGGAGUGAUAAAGAGGGAAAAGUGGUCAAAGAUA
RNAcentral lists this long non-coding RNA (201 nucleotides) under Coffea arabica (coffee). RNAcentral's name for it is "long non-coding RNA (CARA_LNC007884)". Lineage: Eukaryota; Viridiplantae; Streptophyta; Magnoliopsida; Gentianales; Rubiaceae. The record is from RNAcentral.